RNAcentral lists this ribosomal RNA (235 nucleotides) under uncultured bacterium. RNAcentral's name for it is "partial 16S ribosomal RNA". It matches the Rfam family "Bacterial small subunit ribosomal RNA", at positions 99 to 334 of the family's 1533-position model. The record is from RNAcentral.
CGGACGGGUGAGUAACGCGUGGGUAACCUGCCUUGUACUGGGGGACAACAGUUAGAAAUGACUGCUAAUACCGCAUAAGCGCACAGUAUCGCAUGAUACAGUGUGAAAAACUCCGGUGGUACAAGAUGGACCCGCGUCUGAUUAGCUAGUUGGUAAGGUAACGGCUUACCAAGGCGACGAUCAGUAGCCGACCUGAGAGGGUGACCGACCACAUUGGGACUGAGACACGGCCCAA